AGAACAGCCUCCAAAAUGUUGCUCAGCUGUGUCAUCAUAUGCAAAAACAAGACAGAGACAUGCACGUACAAAAACCGCAAUCACCCCUUCACCUCCCCAAGCUGCGAUAACAGACAUGGACGGAACCAAAGACAGACCCGGGCCUGUAUAGAGAGAUACUGACAGCAAGCAGAGACAGAUCCUGACCCCAUACGCUCGGCCAGACAGGAAGUUUUUUUCCCCUCGGUCUCCCCAAUUGUACUUGGCCAAUUACCCCAUUUUCCGAGCUGUCCUGGUCGCUGCUCCACC
Long non-coding RNA from Lampris incognitus (smalleye Pacific opah), 288 nucleotides. RefSeq lists it as uncharacterized. The record is from RefSeq and is a predicted model, not a curated record. The transcript has 3 exons. Lineage: Eukaryota; Metazoa; Chordata; Actinopteri; Lampriformes; Lampridae.